RNAcentral lists this ribosomal RNA (248 nucleotides) under uncultured bacterium. RNAcentral's name for it is "partial 16S ribosomal RNA". It matches the Rfam family "Bacterial small subunit ribosomal RNA", at positions 108 to 353 of the family's 1533-position model. The record is from RNAcentral.
GAGUAACGCGUGGGUAACCUGCCUCACACUGGGGGAUAACAGUUAGAAAUAGCUGCUAAUACCGCAUAAGCGCACAGCUCUGCAUGGAGCAGUGUGAAAAACUCCGGUGGUGUGAGAUGGACCCCGCGUCUGAUUAGCCAGUUGGCGGGGUAACGGCCCACCAAAGCGACGAUCAGUAGCCGGCCUGAGAGGGUGAACGGCCACAUUGGGACUGAGACACGGCCCAAACUCCUACGGGAGGCAGCAUG